UAAGGAAUAUUGGACAAUGGUGGCAACACUGAUCCAGCCAUGCCGCGUGAAGGAUGAAGGCCCUAUGGGUUGUAAACUUCUUUUGUACGGGAAAAAACCUCUUUACGUGUAAAGAGCUGAUUGUACUGUAAGAAUAAGGAUCGGCUAACUCCGUGCCAGCAGCCGCGGUAAUACGGAGGAUCCAAGCGUUAUCCGGAUUCAUUGGGUUUAAAGGGUGCGUAGGCGGAAUGAUAAGUCAGUGGUGAAAUCUCUCGGCUUAACCGAGAAACUGCCAUUGAUACUGUCAAUCUUGAGUACAUUUGAUGUGGGCGGAAUGUGUCAUGUAGCGGUGAAAUGCUUAGAUAUGACACAGAACACCGAUUGCGAAGGCAGCUCACAAAACUGUAACUGACGCUGAGGCACGAAAGCGUGGGUAUCAAACAG
Molecule: ribosomal RNA, 423 nt
Filed under: uncultured bacterium
Lineage: Bacteria
Description: bacterial SSU rRNA
Rfam family: Bacterial small subunit ribosomal RNA
Source: RNAcentral